GUUCAUGACUGGGGUGAAGUCGUAACAAGGUAGCCCUAGGGGAACCUGGGGCUGGAUCACCUCCUUAACGA
Molecule: ribosomal RNA, 71 nt
Filed under: Photobacterium swingsii
Lineage: Bacteria; Pseudomonadati; Pseudomonadota; Gammaproteobacteria; Vibrionales; Vibrionaceae
Description: partial 16S ribosomal RNA
Rfam family: Bacterial small subunit ribosomal RNA
Source: RNAcentral